RNAcentral lists this long non-coding RNA (355 nucleotides) under Marmota marmota marmota (Alpine marmot). RNAcentral describes it as "lncRNA (ENSMMMG00000021775.1)". Lineage: Eukaryota; Metazoa; Chordata; Mammalia; Rodentia; Sciuridae. The record is from RNAcentral.
GUGGCAUCACCAGGCUGGGCCCCUACUCUCUGGACAAGGACAGCCUCUACCUCAAUGGUUACAAUGAGCGUGGUCCAGAUGAGCCUCCUCCAACUCCUGAGUUAACUACCACAUUCCUGCCUUCGCCCAAGACAUCUGCGCAGCCAGAAACCACCACAGAAGCGAAGCCGUCCACUCCUCUACCAACAGAAGUGCCCACCAGAAGUUCCAGCUCCCAGAAUUUCCAGCUCAACUUCACCAUCACCAACCUGCUCUAUACCCAGGACAUGGCUCAGCCAGGCACAGCCAGACACCAACGGAACAAAAGAAGCCUGGAGAAUGCGGUGAGAGAGCCUUACAUUGUGUCCACUCGGAC